This 72-nucleotide transfer RNA is filed under the name Ovis aries (sheep). It matches the Rfam family "tRNA". From Rfam's summary of the family: Transfer RNA (tRNA) molecules are approximately 80 nucleotides in length. Their secondary structure includes four short double-helical elements and three loops (D, anti-codon, and T loops). Further hydrogen bonds mediate the characteristic L-shaped molecular structure. tRNAs have two regions of fundamental functional importance: the anti-codon, which is responsible for specific mRNA codon recognition, and the 3' end, to which the tRNAs corresponding amino acid is attached (by aminoacyl-tRNA synthetases). tRNAs cope with the degeneracy of the genetic code in two manners: having more than one tRNA (with a specific anti-codon) for a particular amino acid; and 'wobble' base-pairing, i.e. permitting non-standard base-pairing at the 3rd anti-codon position. The record is from Rfam by way of RNAcentral. Lineage: Eukaryota; Metazoa; Chordata; Mammalia; Artiodactyla; Bovidae.
UCCCUGGUAGCUCAGACAGGAGAGCGUCUGCCUACAAUGUGGGAGACCCAGGUUCUAUCCCUGGGUUGGGAA